GUGAACGCUGGCGGCAUGCCUUACACAUGCAAGUCGAACGGCAGCACGGAGCUUGCUCUGGUGGCGAGUGGCGAACGGGUGAGUAAUAUAUCGGAACGUACCCUGGAGUGGGGGAUAACGUAGCGAAAGUUACGCUAAUACCGCAUACGAUCUAAGGAUGAAAGUGGGGGAUCGCAAGACCUCAUGCUCGUGGAGCGGCCGAUAUCUGAUUAGCUAGUUGGUAGGGUAAAAGCCUACCAAGGCAUCGAUCAGUAGCUGGUCUGAGAGGACGACCAGCCACACUGGAACUGAGACACGGUCCAGACUCCUACGGGAGGCAGCAGUGGGGAAUUUUGGACAAUGGGCGAAAGCCUGAUCCAGCAAUGCCGCGUGAGUGAAGAAGGCCUUCGGGUUGUAAAGCUCUUUUGUCAGGGAAGAAACGGUGAGGGCUAAUAUCUCUUGCUAAUGACGGUACCUGAAGAAUAAGCACCGGCUAACUACGUGCCAGCAGCCGCGGUAAUACGUAGGGUGCAAGCGUUAAUCGGAAUUACUGGGCGUAAAGCGUGCGCAGGCGGUUUUGUAAGUCUGAUGUGAAAUCCCCGGGCUCAACCUGGGAAUUGCAUUGGAGACUGCAAGGCUAGAAUCUGGCAGAGGGGGGUAGAAUUCCACGUGUAGCAGUGAAAUGCGUAGAUAUGUGGAGGAACACCGAUGGCGAAGGCAGCCCCCUGGGUCAAGAUUGACGCUCAUGCACGAAAGCGUGGGGAGCAAACAGGAUUAGAUACCCUGGUAGUCCACGCCCUAAACGAUGUCUACUAGUUGUCGGGUCUUAAUUGACUUGGUAACGCAGCUAACGCGUGAAGUAGACCGC
Molecule: ribosomal RNA, 847 nt
Filed under: Janthinobacterium sp.
Lineage: Bacteria; Pseudomonadati; Pseudomonadota; Betaproteobacteria; Burkholderiales; Oxalobacteraceae
Description: bacterial SSU rRNA
Rfam family: Bacterial small subunit ribosomal RNA
Source: RNAcentral